This is a non-coding RNA of Caenorhabditis elegans, 202 nucleotides long. The record is from Ensembl. NCBI's taxonomy places the organism in Eukaryota, Metazoa, Nematoda, Chromadorea, Rhabditida, Rhabditidae.
GAGGGUCCUGUGGUCAUCAUCUCCCAUCAUCAUCAUAAGUGGGGGAGAGAAAUUGGAAGGAUACUAAUGUAGAACAGGAAAAAAGGGACCAUACACACGCACUUAUCCUCCAUUUCCUGACAGACGUCUGUAUGCAAGACGAUGUCCAAAAAAAGGGGAAUGACCAAAAAAUUGGAAGCUUCCCCAUUCAUAUGAAACUAUG